UGGGGAAUCUUGCGCGAUGGGCGAAAGCCUGACGCAGCCAUGCCGCGUGAAUGAUGAAGGUCUUAGGAUUGUAAAAUUCUUUCACCGGGGACGAUAAUGACGGUACCCGGAGAAGAAGCCCCGGCUAACUUCGUGCCAGCAGCCGCGGUAAUCGAAGGGGGCUAGCGUUGCUCGGAAUUACUGGGCGUAAAGGGAGCGUAGGCGGACAUUUAAGUCAGGGGUGAAAUCCCGGGGCUCAACCUCGGAAUUGCCUUUGAUACUGGGUGUCUUGAGUGUGAGAGAGGUAUGUGGAACUCCGAGUGUAGAGGUGAAAUUCGUAGAUAUUCGGAAGAACACCAGUGGCGAAGGCGACAUACUGGGCUCAUUACUGACGCUGAGGCUCGAAAGCGUGGGGAGCAAACAGGAUUAGAUACCCUGGUAGUCCACGCCCGUAAAGCGAUGAUUGCNAGUUGUCGGGAUNCAUG
This 464-nucleotide ribosomal RNA is filed under the name uncultured bacterium. RNAcentral's name for it is "partial 16S ribosomal RNA". It matches the Rfam family "Bacterial small subunit ribosomal RNA", at positions 355 to 834 of the family's 1533-position model. The record is from RNAcentral.